This is a long non-coding RNA of Trachemys scripta elegans, 642 nucleotides long. RefSeq lists it as uncharacterized. NCBI's taxonomy places the organism in Eukaryota, Metazoa, Chordata, Testudines, Emydidae. The record is from RefSeq and is a predicted model, not a curated record. The transcript has 2 exons.
GGAGAACUGGCCAAAGGGUGAAGCACAGAGAGGGAGGGAAAGUAACGGAUGGGCGAAAACCAGCUGCCUCAGUUCACACUGCGGGUAACUCUGCUGUGAGGGUGACUCCUGAUCAACACCAGCAUGGGCAGGAGAAUCAGGCUCUUGUCUGGAGCAUUUCCAAUGAGGUCUCCACCCAGAACAGAGAGACCCUUUUGAGUGGAUGCAGGACCAGUCUCCCCAGCCUCAGGGUACAAGCCAGCCCAGAGCAUGCGGUGUGGGUCUCAUGGCAGAGUCCUUUCCACCCGUGCUUAGAGUUAGUGCAGCUGAGGGAUUUGGGGGCCAGACCCUCAGCUGGUGCAAACUAGCACUGACUUCAAUGGAGCGACACCAAUUUACACUGCUGAAGAUCGAGGCCUGAUGUUCAGGUGCACACGGUGGAUACAUUCAGUCCCAAGGCUAUAAGGAGAUGGUCUGGGCUAGUGGUUAGAGCACCUGCCUGGGGUCUCUUCUCAGCUCUGCAGUGGGCUUGCUGUGUGGCCGUGGAGCCUCGGAUUCCCCGUCUGUAUCACUGGGAAUGUACAGACCUGUCUGCCGUGGGGGCUAAAGUUAUUAAUGUUUGUGAAUCAUGGUGAGAGCUUUGGAUAAAAGAAACUAGUGAAA